GAGAGGAAGAGAGAGAGAGGAGGAGAGAUAACAGUGUGGAGAGAGAGAAAGGAGGAGCAACUGAGAGAAAAGAGCAAUACAGAGGCUGAGAGCUGCACACACAGCAGAGAGUAGUUUCAGGAGAGGACACAGGCAGAGGACAAGAAACAAGAAGAAAAGUAAGAGAGAGGGAAAAAAGAAGUCAAGAAGACAAAAACAUUAUUGGCUGGGAAUCCAUCCAUCCCAUCCAGCCGACUGCAAAAGCUCCAGUCUGCAGUGAAUGGUCAAAACCAGUGUGACUGGGCGUCUACUGGGAGGAAAGACCACAGUGAGCAGACUGCAGAACAGCAUGGCUGACGGUGUGAGCGAGGAGUCAGAGUAUAACCCGGGGAAAGAUGAGCUGAGCUGGGGCUACGAGGAAGGUGUAGAGUGGGGACUCCAUUUCCCAGCAGCCAAUGGCGAGUAUCAGUCUCCAAUUAACUUAAACUCCAGGGAGGCCCAGUAUGACCCGUCCCUCCUAGACGUCGGCUUAUCACCAAACUAUGUUGUGUGUCGAGACUGUGAGGUCGUCAACGAGGGACACACUGUCCGCAUCCUUCUCAAGUCCAAGUCAGUGGUUACCGGGGGUCCGCUGCCCAGUGAUCACGAGUACGAGCUUCAUGAGGUCCGAUUUCACUGGGGCAAAGAGAACCAGAGAGGAUCAGAGCACACUGUCAACUUCAAGGCUUUCCCCAUGGAGCUCCAUCUCAUUCACUGGAACAGCACUCUGUUUAACACUGUGGAGGACGCUCUGGGGAAGAAGAAUGGAGUCCUCAUCAUAGCUUUGUUUGUGCAGAUUGGUAAAGAGCACCUGGGUCUGAAGGCCAUCACUGAAGUCCUGCAGGACCUACAGUACAAGGGGAAGAGCAAAAUAAUCCCAUGCUUUAACCCCAAUACUCUGUUACCUGACCCAUUGUUGCGGGACUACUGGGUGUAUGAAGGAUCUCUGACCACCCCACCCUGUAGUGAAAGUGUGACCUGGAUCCUCUACCGCUACCCUCUCACCAUCUCACAGCUGCAGAUUGAGGAGUUUCGGAGGCUGCGCUCUCAUGUCAAAGGGGCUGAGCUGCUAGAAGGGAAUGACGGGAUGUUGGGGGACAACUUCCGUCCCACCCAGCCGCUCAGUGACCGGAUGGUUCGGGCUGCUUUCCAGUGACUCUCACGUAUCACUUCAGCUCAGAAAACAAUGGGUCCUUACCUUACGAGUAUAGAAGGAGAGAAGAAAGACGAGGGCUGAGGAGCGGAAACAGGAGGAGAGAGGGGAAGUUUAUAUGCUUGUAGAUCAGCUGCAGACUGGGGGUUGAGAAACUAUUGAUAACAAUGUGUGUGUGUGUGUUUUCUGAACAACCUCUCACUCUCUCCCCCCGAUUAUUACUCUAUAAAGUACGUGUAUUAACGUGUGUGUGUGUUUCCUGAUUAGAUGUUAGGAAGCUUUAUAACCAGACCGUCUCGACUGUUAAAACAAGGAAACAUAAACAACAGAUGUACACACACACACACACACACACACACACACACACACACACACACACACACACACACACACACACACACACACACACACACACACACACACACAAACACAGAACACAGAACACACAUUUGGUGGAUACACAUUACGUGCAUACACCUGCAGCUAUGUUACAGACCAUUACUGCCGUGGAUCUACUGCACAAGUUUAACACACAGUUUACAGACUAUACUGACCAAAUAUUUCAUUUUGAAUCAGACAAAUCUAAAAAGGAUUUAACAAUUAUGAGCUUUAUAUUGGCCUAUAAGAGAAUAUAAAUAUGAGCAUAUUCACAUUAUUUGAAUUCUAGGUAAUGACACUUAAGUGGAAAUCUUACUGAUCACUGCUGUUAAAAUCUUCCUUGUUGAGCAAUGCAGACAUUAAAAAUGUUUAUUUCAUAUCAUGCAGACCAUAAUUACUAUAGAAAAACCAUUCAUAUUGUGUUUUUGUUUUGGAGUCAGAGGUUGGAAAGAGUGUGAAUUGCUGUCACCUCUCUUUUUUCUUAUAUGAGUCAAAGUGUUGCUUUAGAUUUUCAUCCUUCCCAUUGUUGACACUCAAAUACAGCCUUGUCUUGGAAACUUGUGACAUUUCAUUUCUUGUUUAUCCAGCAAACGUUGUCCUGAUAUUGAGCCAUUUAAAACCUAUUUAAAGAUACACACUCAAAGGUUAGUUUACACCACAUUGAACAUUAAUAUCUAUAUUUAUACUGGAUCCAUCCUAUUGGAGCCCCCCAAUACAUGCUAAAGGGUUGAUUAACAUCAUGUUGGUUCACUAACACAGUAUAUAUACUGUAUAGGCUAAAAGCAUUCGUAUCAUCCUGUCUUUGUUCUUUGAUACAUUUAAUGUCCUUUCUUUGUUUAAUGAAUACUAUAAAGAAAUUGAUUUUUAUUUAAAAAUUGCCAUAUCUAAAUGACAGUGAAUGUUGACUAUUAACAGCUUUAAUACAGAAUAAAAGUCUUUGCUGUUUGUA
This is an RNA transcript of Hippoglossus stenolepis (Pacific halibut), 2498 nucleotides long. It is a transcript of the gene named carbonic anhydrase VIII, with no coding region annotated. Lineage: Eukaryota; Metazoa; Chordata; Actinopteri; Pleuronectiformes; Pleuronectidae. The record is from RefSeq and is a predicted model, not a curated record. The transcript is spliced from 9 exons.